UAACGCGAAGAACCUUACCAGGUCUUGACAUACUAUGCAAAUCUAAGAGAUUAGACGUUCCCUUCGGGCACAUGGAUACAGGUGGUGCAUGGUUGUCGUCAGCUCGUGUCGUGAGAUGUUGGGUUAAGUCCCGCAACGAGCGCAACCCUUAUUAUCAGUUGCCAGCAUUAAGUUGGGCACUCUGGUGAGACUGCCGGUGACAAACCGGAGGAAGGUGGGGAUGACGUCAAAUCAUCAUGCCCCUUAUGACCUGGACUACACACGUGCUACAAUGGAUGGUACAAAGAGUUGCGAACUCGCGAGAGUAAGCUAAUCUCUUAAAGCCAUUCUCAGUUCGGAUUGUAGGCUGCAACUCGCCUACAUGAAGUCGGAAUCGCUAGUAAUCGCGGAUCAGC
RNAcentral lists this ribosomal RNA (395 nucleotides) under uncultured bacterium. RNAcentral describes it as "bacterial SSU rRNA". It matches the Rfam family "Bacterial small subunit ribosomal RNA", at positions 957 to 1353 of the family's 1533-position model. The record is from RNAcentral.